GGGCAUGUGGCUCGGUGGGUAGAGCAUUUGCCUGGCAUGCAUUAAGCCCUGGGUUUGAUUCUCAGCACCCCA
Molecule: transfer RNA, 72 nt
Filed under: Neotoma lepida (desert woodrat)
Lineage: Eukaryota; Metazoa; Chordata; Mammalia; Rodentia; Cricetidae
Rfam family: tRNA
About the family: Transfer RNA (tRNA) molecules are approximately 80 nucleotides in length.
Source: Rfam by way of RNAcentral